RNAcentral lists this ribosomal RNA (447 nucleotides) under uncultured bacterium. RNAcentral describes it as "bacterial SSU rRNA". It matches the Rfam family "Bacterial small subunit ribosomal RNA", at positions 355 to 825 of the family's 1533-position model. The record is from RNAcentral.
UCGGGAAUUUUGGGCAAUGGGCGAAAGCCUGACCCAGCAACGCCGCGUGAAGGAUGAAGCCUCUCGGGAUGUAAACUUCGUAAGAAUAGGAAGAAUAAAUGACGGUACUAUUUGUAAGGUCCGGCUAACUACGUGCCAGCAGCCGCGGUAAUACGUAGGGACCAAGCGUUGUUCGGAUUUACUGGGCGUAAAGGGCGCGUAGGCGGCGUGGUAAGUCACUUGUGAAAUCUCCGAGCUUAACUCGGAACGGUCAAGUGAUACUGCUGUGCUAGAGUACAGAAGGGGCAAUCGGAAUUCUUGGUGUAGCGGUGAAAUGCGUAGAUAUCAAGAGGAACACCUGAGGUGAAGACGGGUUGCUGGGCUGAUACUGACGCUGAGGCGCGAAAGCUAGGGUAGCAAACAGGAUUAGAUACCCCCGUAGUCCCUGAGCGGGCUGGCAAGGCGCAU